AACUCCUCUCUCUCUCUCUCUCUCUCUCUCCUUUCUUUAACCUCUCUCUCUCUCCUUUCUUUAAUCUCUCUCUCUCUCUCUCUCUCCUUUCUUUAACCUCUCUCUCUCUCCUUUCUUUAACCUCUCUCUCUCUCUCUCCUUUCUUUAACCUCUCUCUCUCUCCUUUCUUUAACCUCUCUCUCUCUCUCCUUUCUUUAACCUCUCUCUCUCUCUCCUUUCUUUAACCUCUCUCUCGCUCUCUCUCCUUUCUUUAACCUCUCUCUCUCUCUCCUUUCUUUAACCUCUCUCUCUCUCCUUUCUUUAACCUCUCUCUCUCUCUCCUUUCUUUAACCUCUCUCUCUCUCUCCUUUCUUUAACCUCUCUCUCUCCUUUCUUGAACCUCUCGCUCUCUCUCCUUUCUUUAACCUCUCUCUCUCUCUCCUUUCUUUAACCUCUAUCUCUCUCUCUCUCUCUCUCUCUCUCUCUCUCUCUCCUUUCUUUAACCUCUCUCUCUCCUUUCUUGAACCUCUCUCUCUCUCUCUCCUUUCUUGAACCUCUCUCUCUCUCUCCUUUAUUUAAUCUCUCGCUCUCUCUCCUUUCUUUAACCUCUCUCUCCUUUCUUUAACCUCUCUCUCUCUCAUUUAUUUAAUCUCUCUCUCUCUCCUUUCUUUAACCUCUCUCUCUCCUUUCUUUAACCUCUCUCUCUCUCUCUCUCUCUCUCCUUUCGUUAACCUCUCUCUUCCCCUCUCUCUCUCUCUCCUUUCUUUAACCUCUCCCUCUCCUUUAUUUAACCUCUCUCUCUCUCUCUCUCUCUCCUUUCUUUAACCUCUCUCUCUCUCUCCUCUCUUUAACCUCUCCCUCUCUCUCUCCUUUCUUUAACCUCUCUCUUCCACUCUCUCUCUCUCUCUCUCUCUCUCUCUCUCUCUCUCUCUCUCUCUCUCUCCUCUGCCAAAGGAGACAGAGUGAUCAUCCCUCAGACCGACCCAUUAAACUGGGUCUUGAUUGAAAUUCAGCAUCUUGCUUUUAAUCUCCAAAGUGAUGCUGCGGCCAUGCAUCAUUAUCGGGAAUCUAAACGCAACAGCCUCCCAUCCCUCUCUCUCUCUCUCUCUCUAUCCCAUCCAUUCUCAGUGACAAGUAAUCAUACACCUUGACUUAGUUGAUAUUUUGUUGUGUUACAGCCUGAAUUCAACAUGGAUUAAAUAAAAUAAAAACUUAUUGUGACAAAGUGAAAACAUGUUUUUAAAACAUUUUGAAAAUGUAAUCUCAUUUACAUAAGUGAACAUUUACAUAACUAUUCACACUCCUGAGUCAAUACUUUGUAGAAGCACCUCUAGUGGUUAGAGCAUUGGGCCUGUAACCGAAAGGUUGCUGGAUCGAAUCCCCGAGCUGACAAGGUAAAAAUCUGUCAUUCUGCCUCUGAGCAAGGCAGUUAACCCACAGUUCCCCAGGCGCCGUGGAUGUUGAUUAUGGCAGUCCCCCGCACCUCUCUGAUUCAGAGGGGUUGGGUUAAAUGCGGAAGACACAUUUCAGUUGAAUUUAUUCAGUUGUACAACUGACUAGGUAUCCCCCUUUCCCUUUCCUUUUGCAGUGAUUACAGCUGUGAGUCUUUCUGGGAAGACUCGAAAACCUUUCCACACCUGGAUUGUGCAACAGUUGCCCAUUAUUAUUUUCAAAAUUCUUCAAGCGGUGUCAAUUUGGUUGUUGAUCAUUGCUACCUCUUUAGGUAUCCCAAAAAC
Molecule: long non-coding RNA, 1715 nt
Organism: Oncorhynchus mykiss (rainbow trout)
Lineage: Eukaryota; Metazoa; Chordata; Actinopteri; Salmoniformes; Salmonidae
Source: Ensembl